CCGGAAAGGGCGUGUUACUGCAGCCUUUUUCGCGAAAGCAGGUUAGCAGGACUACUAACGUUAGGACUAUCGUGUCAGACAGAGCCGUGAUAGAACUUGUUCUGAAUUAUGGACGAGAGCCUGGUCAUGAUUUUCCAUUCCUUCCGAGAUAUCCUCCAGUCAGUGCGAGAUCCUUGCAGAUACCAUUGGAUGAUCUGGCUGAAUUUGAAGAUAGAGCUGUGUCUCGUCAGCAUUAACAAUGAUAAGAGAAGCCUCUUGACUGGAUAAUGGUUCCUAGCGAUGUAGUGUAAAUUGAAAACAGAAGUAGACCAGAAACUGAUCCCUGAGGGGGUACCCCUUUACCCAGCUGAGCAGAUGAGCUACAGUCACAGAA
This is a non-coding RNA of Danio rerio (zebrafish), 373 nucleotides long. NCBI's taxonomy places the organism in Eukaryota, Metazoa, Chordata, Actinopteri, Cypriniformes, Danionidae. The record is from RefSeq and is a predicted model, not a curated record.